Carassius gibelio (silver crucian carp) is the source of this 286-nucleotide long non-coding RNA. RefSeq lists it as uncharacterized. The record is from RefSeq and is a predicted model, not a curated record. The transcript is spliced from 3 exons. Lineage: Eukaryota; Metazoa; Chordata; Actinopteri; Cypriniformes; Cyprinidae.
AAGGUGCGUCUCAUAGUCCCGGGUGACGUCAUCCAUUACCGGUGUGUCGCGGGAGUGUUUGUCCGUGUGGACUGAGGAAUCCUGUGGUACAACACGAGUCGUACCAGAUUGUCUGUUUAUAUCCUGGAGUUUAAUUCCCUGUGUACGGCAAGGAGUUGAAUCCGGCUGCAGUGCCGCGUGAAGUAUGUCUAAGCCCUCUGUUCCCAUGUCGUGGAGACGAUUUGUAGUAAUCACCGCUGAAGAUGUGUUUUUUACUUGGACAUACUACAGUACAACCUUAUCACAA